RNAcentral lists this ribosomal RNA (504 nucleotides) under uncultured bacterium. Its description in RNAcentral is "partial 16S ribosomal RNA". It matches the Rfam family "Bacterial small subunit ribosomal RNA", at positions 28 to 523 of the family's 1533-position model. The record is from RNAcentral.
GAUAAACGCUAGCGGCAGGCUUAACACAUGCAAGUCGAGGGGCGGCAUAGAUUGUAGCAAUACAAUUGGUGGCGACCGGCGCACGGGUGCGUAACGCGUAUGCAACCUACCCGUCACAGGGGGAUAAUCCGGAGAAAUCUGGUCUAAUACCCCAUAACAUAUGGAUCGGCAUCGGUUCAUGUUGAAAUUUUCGGAGGUGACGGAUGGGCAUGCGUAGCAUUAGCUUGUUGGUGAGGUAACGGCUCACCAAGGCGACGAUGCUUAGGGGGACUGAGAGGUUUUCCCCCCACACUGGUACUGAGACACGGACCAGACUCCUACGGGAGGCAGCAGUGAGGAAUAUCGGUCAAUGGGCGCAAGCCUGAACCAGCCAUGCCGCGUGCAGGAUGACGGCUCUAUGAGUUGUAAACUGCUUUUGUACGAGGGUAAAGUGGGUUACGUGUAACCUUUUGAAAGUAUCGUACGAAUAAGGAUCGGCUAACUCCGUGCCAGCAGCCGCGGUAA